GCCCCUCUAUACCACUUGAACUUGUCAUUGUAAUCGUGUUAAUUAUUAUGUAAACCAACAGAAUGUAAAGUCACUGCCGAAAUUGCUGUCACCAAAUUAGAUGUAAGCAAGAAAAUUUGCAAAAGCCCAGAAAAAGUAAAAAUUUACAAGUAUUUUGCACUUCAAAAGAUCGGCAAAGGAAAUGUAGUUCAAGUUAAAAUAAAAAGUUUAAGGUAUAAAAAUAUUUCAAGGCAAUUUCAGUAAACUGGAUUUCAAGAAACUCCUAAAACAUUUUUUAGAGCCAGUUGUUAAACAUUUAUAAGCAUACCGUUGGAUACAGCGAACCUGAGGCAAUCUCUUAAUGUGGGAGCUGAGAAAACUCACACCCAGACCUUGUUUUCAAGAUGGAAAGAAGACCCAACUCAAUAGGGAGCCAGAGAACACUGGUGCCUCUUGAUCCGUCCUGUUCAAACCAUCCUCUGGGGGAGACAGCAGAUGGAGGAGGGUGGAGAGUGAAUACCUUCCUAUCCAUUCUUAUCACCCCUGAUUUCCCACAGCAAUGGAGGUAACUUUGGCUGACAACUGGAAACAGUGGAUUUUCUAGUAGGACCUUAAGUGACCCUGCUCAAGAUGAACUGUCCUAGAAUAAAAUUUGAUUGGCCAACUUCAGUCAGUGAUUACUCUUGGCAACAAGACAGGGUUCCUUGACUGACAGUCCCAUGGAGACUCUCAUAAUAAGGAGCCAGUAAUCUCCAACAAGGAAUUCAGAGUGCUCUUAAGAACAGGAGGGCGAAUGGGUGCUGGGAAGCCAAGGAAGAGCAAAAGUCCACUUCCAUCUGGGACAUGACCUUGCUACAGGGCCCCUCCUGAGUUGGGGGGUGGGCAGGGAGCAUUAACGUGGAAGUAAUUGAGAAUUAAUUUUUCUUUAAAAAUCUCCAGGCAUAAUGUCAAUAGUUCAGAAUGUAACACUAUUUGACAUUAACAGAGCUCACACUGAAAAAUCGCAGGUAUGUAAAUAAAUGUUGGAAUGAAAAUAAAUCAGAAACUGAAAGAAAAGCUGAGAUAUGCUGAUGUUUAAGGAAGAUCAUAUGUCACUGUUUUGCCAAACCUGAUGAAAAGAUAAGUAUGUUCCAACAGCAUUCAGAGUAAGUGGAAAAUUUACUGUUAAACAUAGAGCGAGGGGGGUGAGAAGAAUGGGUUUGUAGGGGACUUUGUGGUCCAUUUCCGUUGUAAAUGAGUGAAGAGAAAGUGCUUGACCUUCCCGGCUGUGGCCCCCUCGACCUACAUGGUCCUCUCGCUCUUCUUUCUACUUCUCCAAGCUCUGCUGCCUUCAGGACCCAACACACAUGUCUUUUCUCUCAGAGCCUUCCGGGACCAGCUCAAUCCAGCCCAAUCCAUGAUGAAAUACCGCUUCUUGUCCCAUGCACGUGGCACUUCCCAAACGUCCCCUUAGGUUGUCACACAGCUCCUGACAUGUGCAUCCUGACCUUCACCUAGGGUCCGGGAAUAACGAAAGCAGGAUCUGUCUGAUGAUGAGAAGUUGGCUGUUGGAGGCUUAAUGUGACCUUUACAAAACUUGGUCUUUCUGCCCUUUUCUAGUUCCUCAUUCACCUAAACCUUGAAAAUAGGAACUGUAACCAGGAUUUGUCCCUCCUCUCUCUCUCUCUCUCUCUCUCUCUUUUUACACCACACUGUUCUGGAGAGAAUUAAUGAGAGGAUACAUGUAAAAGCCAACACAAGACUUACACUCGGAUGUUUUCAUUUUGUCAGAUGCUCGUUGCCCUAUAGGUAAAGAUCUCCCAAGCACAUAGGCAGAUUCUUUUAAUGGUUACGAAUAAUGGUAGUAUUGUCUCAUGCUGCCUAUUCUUUCUCAAUGAUCUCAUCUAUUUGGGCAGUUUCAGUUGUGGUCUUUAAGAGGAUGACUCUCCAUCUGCCUCCAGCCAACUCAUCUCCCAAGCCCCAGGCCCGUAUUUCCAACCGGAUGUUCUGUAGACCUCAGACUCAACAGGUCCUGAACUGAACCCACCCUUCCAUACAAACCUAGUCCCUCUUGUUACUGAAGCCAUUGACCACAAUCAGAACUGGUCUAGAUGCCACUUAUGCCUGAAAUCCCAGAAACGUUUCAGUUCCAGCAUCUCCUUCUCACCGUCUCCCACCCAGUAUCCUGCUGGAGUCUCCCAAUGUGUUCCUAAGGUUCCAUUUUUUCUGCAGCCCCAUGUCUGACCUUCAUUAAGUCUCAACUCAAAUCUUGCAAGAACAUCCUGACUAGUCCCUCUAUCUCCACCCACCACCUCAGCCCAUGCUCUAUGCUGUCACUAGAGUUCUGUCCUUAAAGACACUGGUAAGAUUGUAUCAGACCCCAGCACCCUCUCCACACACCAAAGCUUCUAGUCUUCCUGUUCUGACAUAUGAACAGUUCGAGCUGUCCACAAUAUGUAGCCUCAUCUCCUCUACAGUCCCCGAACCUCAAGCCUACUCCCUCCGCAUUUCACGUUCCCAGAAUAUGCCCUCCACUGUCACACAAUUAACCUUGUUAAGCUGUUUCCUUGUCUCAAAUACUCUUGCCACCUGGCCCAGGAUCCUCUUAAUCUGGCAUCUUCCAAGACACUUCACCAAUUUUAACAGUUAACAUUAAUUGUUCCUUCAAGUAAUAACUACCAUUAUAGAGAACUGAGUAUGUGCCAGGGAUUUACAUACAUUAUCACGGUUAAUCCUCACCACCCUCCAGCAAGUUAGGUAUUACAGGCCCAUGAUCCCUUAUCCAAAGCCUUGAGGCCAGGUGUGCUUCCAAAUUGAGAAUGUCUUGUUUUUUGGAAAGGUAAUAUAGUGGGAUGUGUCUCAGUUUCCCCAUCUGUAAAAUGGAGAGGAUAAGUACUAGCAGAGUACCUCCCUCAUGGGAUUGUUGUGAAACAGGCAAUGUGUUCCUUCAGAGAAGGGCUUAGGGAAGUGCCCUUAUGAAAUGCACUGUGAGGUCUAUUUACUUGACUGUUAUAAACAAUACAUAAUAGCUUGUGAAAAGACCUUACUAGGAAAAUAAGUGGCUCAACAAAUUUGUAUCAGGAAAGUAAUUUGGAUGAUGAUAAGAGCCCUCAUUUUGCUGGAUGUUGUGCUUUCUUUUUCUUUCUUUACUUUCACUUCCUUCUGCUACUUACCACACCCUUUAUUCAGCAUUUCCUAUCAAAAUCACAGGCCUCCUGCUACUGCAAUGAAAAGUCUUUCUUCAUUUUUCCAGCCUAUUUUACAAUUAAUUCAUAAGUUUCUCCAGAAAAAGAAAUAUAUAUAUAUAUAUAUGCUAGAUAAUUAUUCCCUUCUUCUCUGACAAGAAUAAUUUAUGACAAUUAAUGCUAGUUUUUAGAAAUUCAGUGUAAACAUCACCAACAAAUUCAUUUGCUUUACUCUUUUAUGGGCCCAGAUGCAGAAGAGUCCAAGAAUGUAGGGCCUGGAAGGGACCCUAAAGACCAGCCAGUAUGCAUGACCCGACUCUAUCCAACUAUCUUUUAUACUUGAAGAAACUAGGAGAAGGGAGUCCCUGCUCAAGUUCACACAGCUAGUUAAUGACACAACACUAGCUAAAUCCCAACUGUCCCCAUUCCCACCUCCCCCACCAUCCCCAAGCAACCACUG
Molecule: non-coding RNA, 3603 nt
Organism: Callorhinus ursinus (northern fur seal)
Lineage: Eukaryota; Metazoa; Chordata; Mammalia; Carnivora; Otariidae
Source: RefSeq, a predicted model, not a curated record